Rattus norvegicus (Norway rat) is the source of this 1579-nucleotide non-coding RNA. The record is from RefSeq and is a predicted model, not a curated record. Lineage: Eukaryota; Metazoa; Chordata; Mammalia; Rodentia; Muridae.
CCGGCCUCUGCCAAGGCCAGACUUGGGUCCACUGUGGGAUAGAAAGCAGGAUGCCAGGGGUCGGUCUGUCUUAGUGAAGAGAGCUUAACUGAGUGGACUCCUGGAGUCCUGGAACUGAGGACAGCUGGCAACUCAUCUCUAAACCCAGGAGACCUAACCAGGUCAUUCAGCAUGAGUGGUGCAGGAGAAAUGGGGGGUACCAUUAGGGAUUCAGCCCCAGCUCUAACAGGCAGGGUUCUCAGUAAGGAGCCAAAGGCGUCUGAGGAUACAGAGCCCUCAGAAGACGAAGAGGGACCUGCCAGCCGCUGAGGGUACACCAACAGAGUGUCGUCCCCUACUUCCAAUUUGGAAGCUUCCAGCCCCAUCCCAGACACCGCGGAAAAAGGGGGACCACUCAACCAGCCACGCUGUCACCACCCUGGAUUUUUGUCCCAUCCCACGUCCCAAGAGGCUGCCCAUGUCAAGGACGGCGUGCAUGACUCUCUGUAUCUGGGUCACUGUCUGGGCGUCUGACUCACGGGGCUGCUUCAGUGCUGUCGGGGUGCAGAGCGUGAGAAGAGCAGUCGCACUUGCUGAUUUCCUCAAAGCAGCUGAGUGAGAGGCUGGGCCUGCACGUGGCCUGUGUACAACUGACGGGUGGGUGUGUUUGUGUACAGUGGCAUGCGUCCAAAAGGCUGAGCACAUGCCUGUGUGUGUGCACAUGUGUUCAUGUAUAUGCAGAGGUAUGUGACUGGUGUGUCGGAGGGAGGGGCAAGUGCACACGAGCGGUGGAUGUACCUGGGUGAAGAAAGACAGAAACAUGGAAGGCGACAGAGUGACACUUGUUCCACCUUUCAACUUUAUGGGCAUGAGUAUUUUUUCUUGGGAGAAAAGAGGAGGAUUUGUGAGAAACACGGUACAACUUUUCAAAGAACAUGGAACUGGCUCCCAGUCCUGUGUCUUCUCUGUGGAAUAUGAGGCACUGACUGCCCUGCCAGACAGGGACCCACUGACAUUAUUUGAGAGAUACCCACGUCCCAAGAGCUCAGAGAGGCUAAGUUACAGUCCCAGCUCACAAGCUCUGAGGGACAUAAAAGGCUGGCUUUCUCCUAGGGGAAGGUAGGAGAUUCAGGUUAGCACCCACUCUGUCAUUCAAUGCUGUGAUAUUCCUGAGGGAAUCCCCACUCCCUGGAAAAAAAAUCAUCAUAUAGGAGUGUUGCAGUAAAUUCCCCAACCCAAAUAAACCGUGCAAUGAAAACACAGCUCAAAUACGAGCUGUGCGCCCAGACCGGGCAGAUCCGCCACUGUACUACUCUAUUCCCAGCUGAGAUCCCCGAUAACUUGCGGUUUCUCCAGGCCACGUGCUUCAGCUCCAUCUUCCUCCCACCACCUCCUCCUCUUUCUCCUCUCUCUCCCUCUCCUCCACUCUUCAGCUCCCUCCCCUGCCCAAUCACGGGCUCUGGCCUUUAUUUUACAAGUUAAACCGGGGAGAAGGUUCAGGUGAAGUCACCUGAGUGUGUGAUUUACUCCUUGUCCAAGGCAGCCUCUCUUGGGGAAGUGUAAUUAGCAUCAAAAUACAAACAGCACCAGGGCAACCCAC